This is a non-coding RNA of Peromyscus maniculatus bairdii (prairie deer mouse), 318 nucleotides long. NCBI's taxonomy places the organism in Eukaryota, Metazoa, Chordata, Mammalia, Rodentia, Cricetidae. The record is from RefSeq and is a predicted model, not a curated record.
AAACUCUGCACUGAAAAGCACUCAGCAUCGUCUUUGGUGAACCUGCGGAGUCGGUAAUAUUAACCACUCGAUGCUUCCAUGGAAAAGGAAUGAAACAAAUCCUUGAAGAGUGGUCCAGGAAACAAUACUAUGCACAGAUUAUAUUGAGUCAGCUGCUCUGUGUCGUAUGUUUACCCACCUGCAGGAAAGCAAGGACUCUGCUACUGGACUCUGACUCCAGUUCAUCUGACGUGAAGUCAAGCUUCAACUGUAGCUCCCUGUAGCUCCCCUGUAGCAUUAUCAGCAUAUCUAUCCACAUCCAGCAUUUCAAAGUCAAGG